Molecule: long non-coding RNA, 1265 nt
Organism: Pangasianodon hypophthalmus (striped catfish)
Lineage: Eukaryota; Metazoa; Chordata; Actinopteri; Siluriformes; Pangasiidae
Exons: 2
Source: RefSeq, a predicted model, not a curated record
UACACUGUUUUACAUCUUUUAUUUGUGUGUGUAUGUGUGUGUGCACGUGUGUUUGUGUGGGCAUGUUUUUCACAAGGAUAUGUAUGUCUGAGAGUUUAGACUUUGUGGGGACAAACGGCAGGUCCCCACAAGGAAAACUGCUUUUUUAUUAUAAAAUUAAUUAUUAUUAUUAAACUGCAACUUUAAUUUAAAAUAUUAAACGAGGCAAAUAUUUAUUUGGUUUCAGACGUUAGGGUUAAAUUUAGGUGUAUUCACAGCAUUAAUGCGCUGCACUAAUUGUUAUGUCAGUGGAAAGUCCUCACAAGGAGACUAAGAAAACAUGGUCCAGUAGCCUGGUCCUCACAAAAAAUACAGUGUUUUUACAUCUUUCACACACAUGUCUAUGUGUGUGUGUGUGUGAGAGAGUGUGUGUGAGAGAGAGAGAGAGAGAGAGAGAGAGACGCGUGUGUGACCAGACGGCCAGAAACAAACAGGACACACCAGUGUAUGGACACAAAUGGUUGAGUGAUCACAGAUGAGGACAUCAAAUGGCUCCCCCAGGAACACUUUCACACGGGUCAGCUGUCUUUCUAAUCCCACACACUUCAAACCAAGCAGACCAGCACUUAAAAGGACCAAGCUUCUCAUCUCAUAUAACAGAAGCUAGUGGCUGCAUGAAGGAACUACAGAACCGUCCUAAUUUGUCAUAUGGUCAAUGAGUUAAGACAUAUGCUUUACUGAGAAAGCAGAAGUAAGCUGAAGCGAUCUGUUUUUGAGUCUCACACUUGCUCAUAGGCUUUAAAUAGGGACUGUCAAGCAUCUACAACUCCAACGAUCUGCACAGCGGAGCCAAUUAGACCCGGGACGUCCAGUGGCUGGGAUGCCAUGACCAACUCUAUUACACUGUGCUAUUAGGUGAAGUUCCAGUUUUACAUUUAAAAACAAGGUAGUAAGACAAAAUAUGCAGCUUGUCUUGUCACCAAGAACCACGAAGCCCUCCACCCUGAAGACUUUCCCAUGUUGGACAACGUACAGUUUUACGCCCGACUGUUACAAAGUGCUGAGACUGGAGACUCCUUCCAAAAAUGCUAAAUAAACAUCUCCUUAAAAUAACAACAAUUAAACUCAUAUCAGAAAUUACACACUUUUUUAAUCUGUUUAAGUGGAGCAACUGCCAUACAGGUUGUUACUACAGAAACAAUAACAUGUUUAUACUAUAUAUCAUACCAAUCAUACUUGCAGUAUGAUGAAAAAAGAAUGUAUAAGUAAAGUUAUGCUAAUUGAAA